Molecule: long non-coding RNA, 366 nt
Organism: Zingiber officinale
Lineage: Eukaryota; Viridiplantae; Streptophyta; Magnoliopsida; Zingiberales; Zingiberaceae
Exons: 3
Source: RefSeq, a predicted model, not a curated record
AAUUCCUCUGCUGCCGAAGCCCUAGCCUUUGCACAGUGCCACUGCCGCGGCAUCUUCUGCCGUAGUUUCCGGCCGAUUUCCCCACUCACUGGAGUAGGCUACGGUUUCCAAUCAGUGACACUCUUCACCAGAGAGUAACCUGCCAAUGUGGUUAGGAGUAUUUGAGUGGAGAUUUUGACCCCCACCUUGCUGCAAUCACUGGAUCCGGCAGUAACUUUAGCCACAAACCUUGAUCCAGCAGUAUUAGGCUUUGUUGGCAGCGACCCUUUGAUUUACAGCAGCAAUUAAUCUUUGCUAGCAGUAGAGUUUUGUUUUCCGGCAGCAGCUUGGUCUAGCAGCGGUUGAUUUGAGGACUUUGACGCGAGA